This 119-nucleotide ribosomal RNA is filed under the name Pteropus alecto (black flying fox). The record is from RNAcentral. RNAcentral also lists the same sequence under 1 other name. Lineage: Eukaryota; Metazoa; Chordata; Mammalia; Chiroptera; Pteropodidae.
GUCUACGGCCAUGUUACCCUGAACAAACCUGAUCCCGUCUGAUCUCGAAAGCUAAGCAGGGUCAGGCCUGGUUAGAACUUGAAUGGGAGACCACCUAGGAAGACUAGGUGCUGUAGGUG